GCCGUGCUGAGCGGCACCGCCCUUAUCUGCCUCCUCGGUUUCCCCUUCCCCGCCCGGCGGCGGCAGGACCCAGGUGGGAGAGGGGCGGUGCCAGACGCCCUGAAGGAGGGCCGGGCUGACUGCGGGCUGUGGUUGCCGCCCGCGAGGGAGGGGUUGGGCGGAGGAGGCCGGGCUCAACUUUGACAGGAGCGAGCGAGGGAGGGAAGGAAGGCAGGAAGGCGCCGCUGCCGGGGCUGCGUUCGCUGUGCGCAGGUAGUUGUGAUGGUGCAUGAUGCAAAGCAGUGAUCUUCAGGAAGCAAGCAAGAUAUCAUCAUAUCAUCCAUACUGCUUGCAAUUAACCCAUCUCAUCCUGAACAAGGAAACUAUGAAUAUUACAUUGAAAAGUUAAAGCACUAAGAAAGAUCAUUACUGGAAACUGUUGCUUCAGGGAAAGGUCAUUUUUAUCUUCUAUUCAGUUCAGAUUCACUUUGAAUACAAAUUGCCUCCUGUGUGUCCAUGGGAACAGCUACACUGCAGGACUGAUAGCAGCAGCUCUUUGGGCUACGUGUGCUCCUCUGUUCUCCAGAGCUGACCUCCCUCUUCUGCAUUUUAGCUAGAUUCUGCCUGCUGGCCAAGCAAGUCUAGGGGAUACUAUCUUGCCACCAGUUGUUAUCCCACAGUAAAAAGAUUCACUAAAAGUAUGUGAACUUGCUUUUAUAUGCCCAUACCCCAUAAUUGUAAAGAGUGGUUUCUGUUUGAAGAGCCUGUAUGUAUUUGGUGAAGAAAACUUGUUUAUUUUUGCUCUUUUAUGCCAUUUUCAAACUGUUUUUGUUUCUGUUGGAUGUGGACUAAGCAACAUGGAGUGCUUAGUGACUAUCAGCUUAAUAUUCUGAUCUGCCGACAAAACCUCACAGAAACAAAUAUGGGUUGUAGCAGUUGCUUUUUCAUAACAGCCUACAGCCUGCUGUCCACAUAAAUUGAUAUCUUAGUGUAAAUAUUUUGAUGUGAUUGUAUGCUAUUGAGAAUUAUUAGUAUUGGAAAUAUAUGUAUACGUGAGAAAUUAUGUUUGCAUCUCGUAACUAUUGAUGGAGUCAGC
Molecule: long non-coding RNA, 1075 nt
Filed under: Gallus gallus (chicken)
Lineage: Eukaryota; Metazoa; Chordata; Aves; Galliformes; Phasianidae
Description: long non-coding RNA NONGGAT001305
Source: RNAcentral